This 1244-nucleotide ribosomal RNA is filed under the name Arthrobacter sp. W-3. RNAcentral's name for it is "bacterial SSU rRNA". It matches the Rfam family "Bacterial small subunit ribosomal RNA", at positions 167 to 1459 of the family's 1533-position model. The record is from RNAcentral. Lineage: Bacteria; Bacillati; Actinomycetota; Actinomycetes; Micrococcales; Micrococcaceae.
UCCCGAAUAUAUAGGUAUACGCCAUGGUGUGGAAUCUUUGUUGGAGAUCCGGCCUAUACGCUGUGGGAGUUAUGCCUCAAGGCACGACGGUAGCGCCUUGAAGGGUACCGGCCACUUGGACUGGAACCCGACCUAGUCCUACGGGAGGCAGCCAGUGGGAUAUGCACAAUGGCGCCAAGCUUGAUGCCAGCGACCCGGCGUGAGGAUGACUGCUUUCGGUUGUAACCUUUCUCAGUAGGGAAGAAGCGAAAGUGACGGUACUGCAGAAGAAGCGCCGCUAACUACGUGCCAGCAGGCGCGGUAAUACGUAGGGCCGCAAGCGGUUAUCCGGAAUUAUGGGCGUAAAGAGCUCGUAGGCGGUUGUCGCGUCUGCCGUGAAAGUCCCGGGCUCAACUCCGGAUCUGCGGUGGGUACGGGCAGACUAGAGUGAUGUAGGGGAGACUGGAAUUCCUGGUGUAGCGGUGAAAUGCGCAGAUAUCAGGAGGAACACCGAUGGCGAAGGCAGGUCUCUGGGCAUUAACUGACGCUGAGGAGCGAAAGCAUGGGGAGCGAACAGGAUUAGAUACCUGGUAGUCCAUGCCGUAAACGUUGGGCACUAGGUGUGGGGGACAUUCCACGUUUUCCGCGCCGUAGCUAACGCAUUAAGUGCCCCGCCUGGGGAGUACGGCCGCAAGGCUAAAACUCAAAGGAAUUGACGGGGGCCCGCACAAGCGGCGGAGCAUGCGGAUUAAUUCGAUGCAACGCGAAGAACCUUACCAAGGCUUGACAUGAACCGGAAAGACCUGGAAACAGGUGCCCCGCUUGCGGUCGGUUUACAGGUGGUGCAUGGUUGUCGUCAGCUCGUGUCGUGAGAUGUUGGGUUAAGUCCCGCAACGAGCGCAACCCUCGUUCUAUGUUGCCAGCACGUGAUGGUGGGGACUCAUAGGAGACUGCCGGGGUCAACUCGGAGGAAGGUGGGGACGACGUCAAAUCAUCAUGCCCCUUAUGUCUUGGGCUUCACGCAUGCUACAAUGGCCGGUACAAAGGGUUGCGAUACUGUGAGGUGGAGCUAAUCCCAAAAAGCCGGUCUCAGUUCGGAUUGGGGUCUGCAACUCGACCCCAUGAAGUCGGAGUCGCUAGUAAUCGCAGAUCAGCAACGCUGCGGUGAAUACGUUCCCGGGCCUUGUACACACCGCCCGUCAAGUCACGAAAGUUGGUAACACCCGAAGCCGGUGGCCUAACCCCUUGUGGGAGGGAGCCUGUUC